RNAcentral lists this transfer RNA (85 nucleotides) under Salegentibacter salinarum. Its description in RNAcentral is "tRNA-Leu". It matches the Rfam family "tRNA". Rfam says of the family: Transfer RNA (tRNA) molecules are approximately 80 nucleotides in length. Their secondary structure includes four short double-helical elements and three loops (D, anti-codon, and T loops). Lineage: Bacteria; Pseudomonadati; Bacteroidota; Flavobacteriia; Flavobacteriales; Flavobacteriaceae. The record is from RNAcentral.
GCUCGAGUGGCGGAACUGGUAGACGCGCUGGAUUCAAAAUCCAGUAACUUCGGUUGUGCGGGUUCGAUUCCCGCCUCGAGUACUA